GACGAAGGAUGCAAGCGUUAUCCGGAUUCAUUGGGUUUAAAGGGCGCGUAGGUGGUCUUGUAAGUCAGUGGUGAAAUCUUCCAGCUUAACUGGGAAACUGCCAUUGAUACUGCAGGACUUGAGUACAGAUGCUGUGGGCGGAAUAUGACAUGUAGUGGUGAAAUACAUAGAGAUGUCAUAGAACACCGAUUGCGAAGGCAGCUCACAAAACUGUAACUGACACUGAGGCUCGAAAGUGCGGGGAUCAAACAGG
Molecule: ribosomal RNA, 253 nt
Filed under: uncultured bacterium
Lineage: Bacteria
Description: partial 16S ribosomal RNA
Rfam family: Bacterial small subunit ribosomal RNA
Source: RNAcentral